GGCAUCUUAAGCUGCAAACAACCUGCCACAGAGGACAGAUGAAUCCACAGAAGCAGCGGCAGAAGAAAAAAGAAGUGGGGGCCAAUAUCAAACUAAGUUCAUCACAUUACAGAAUUUGAGUCUCCGGCAAAUUCCUGCAGUGGAAACCCUUUCAAUCAGGCUCAGCCUACAUCCCACGAUGUGGUCCUCAGCCAAGGCAAAAGAGAAAAAAAUUUUUUGGAACUUUGCAGCAGCCAUUCAACCAGGAACAGUAAUAUCUAACCAUUAAUUUUUCAUGGAGCUUUUCUGGGCCUACAUUUUGUUCUUGUUUACCUUUGUAGCAGAAAAAAAGGGUGCCCAGAUAAAGAUUUUUUUUUUUUUUUUAAUUAUUUUAUUCUCGUAUGUCAUGCAGUUCACUGUUUGGAUUCAAUUAUGCAUGUGGUUCUUAUCUAUGAAUGUAUGAUGUUUGACUGUGCAGAAAGCACUCAGCGAGCACUUGUAUGAAAAAAGCUUCGGAGUCUGAGAGCAUGCUGCUGCUGACAGAGCAGCGUAGCGAGGUGCGAUCAAAAAGUUCUGAGACUCAUCCUGUCGUACAUGAACAGAGCAGCGCACAGUCAUGUGCAUACAAUAGGGACCAGCAGCAGCACUUCAGGAUUCCACUUAACCUUUUUGGCAAUCGGCUCAUUUCACUUGAGUUUUUAUUAAUACUUGUAGAUGCACAUGUGUAAUUUGUUCCAAUUAUCAGAAGCAGUACCAUGUUUAAGUCCCAGCUACCAGGCCACCUUCCUGUUUAGGAUCACCAGUGGUAAUGAGUUGAGUCUAUGGAUACGACACAAGAGAUCAAACAGUAGCCUUAGCAGUGGAAGGAAUCAAUGUCUUCAAGGCUGAAGAAGACAUGUAUUUGUGUACUAGCCAUUCACUACCUGGGAUUGGACUUUCCGAUAGAAGUCGGAUGCUGUGCACAAGUUUUUGGCCACACUGCUGACCAGUAGCAUCCACCACGCACCAUACAGUAGUUGGUGCAAGGCGUAGCAACUAAAAAGACUUUGAGGAAGCAUUCUAAAUGAUGCUAGGGUGCUGGGAGUUGUGUGUUAAUGCACAAGGUGACCACUUUGAAGGAAACUGCAGCUAAACAGUUUUUGCUUUUUAUAGGCACAGUCACUGACUUUUUUUGAUUGGUGUUUUGCAGCCCGGGAAUCCACUGACUAGCCUAAUUAAAGAUACUCACAGGGUUAUUUGCUGUUCUCACAUACAGUCUAUGCACAUGUAACAGAGUUAAAAAUGCACCAUAUUAUUAUUUCAUUUCCUCUCCAAUGUUUGUAUUUUAUUUUUCAAUAUAUAUGUGAAAUUUUAUCAUUUAUUUAUUUUAUUUUGAAAACCCAGAAGUGCGCUAUGCUCUUUUGAGCAUAUGAGUGAAUGUUAUUUUGGGUCGCUUUACUUCCUCCCUCACAACACUGUACUAACUGCUGAAGGUAAGUUUUGCACUAUUAUAUGUGUUUUUACUAAUUCAAUGUGCUAACUUCAUUCUCACACUAAUGUAUGUUGUCAAGACAAUGUUUUAAGAUGUAUUUGUACCAUUUUGAUUACUUUAGUGGGCUGAUACGAAUUUUAAUGACAUUUUUAUUCAGCUUAUAUUUGAUUUCAGUUAGCUGACUGGUGUAAAUAGCAUGUCGUGGCUAUCACCUGACUGCUAAUAGAGCAGCCAUUUUAUAGUGUCAUUUUAUUUUUAUAGGGAGCCAGUGAUUGGUGUAUGUAAAGACACUACAGUGAUGUUUUUUUUGUGUCUAUCAUAGAAUUAAAAGUGGUCAACUCCA
This is a long non-coding RNA of Archocentrus centrarchus (flier cichlid), 1793 nucleotides long. RefSeq lists it as uncharacterized. The transcript has 2 exons. The record is from RefSeq and is a predicted model, not a curated record. Lineage: Eukaryota; Metazoa; Chordata; Actinopteri; Cichliformes; Cichlidae.